Molecule: long non-coding RNA, 528 nt
Organism: Passer domesticus (house sparrow)
Lineage: Eukaryota; Metazoa; Chordata; Aves; Passeriformes; Passeridae
Exons: 3
Source: RefSeq, a predicted model, not a curated record
CUCUCUGUGACUGAACUAUGUCCUCGAGCUGGCCACCCUUGAUCUGAGGGCAGCAGGAUGCUGGCCAUCUCAGCACAGCAGGGCCUGUGUCUUUGAGCAGCCUGCUGCAACAAUAAACACUGAGCUUUUCAAACUCAGAGGUAGCAGCAGAGACAACAAAGGAGAUGUCCUGGUACUGAGGACCUGAGGAGACCCCUUUGGCUAUAUCUGAUUUGCAUUCGGGCAGACACUUCUACCUGAAUUCAGAGUCUGUGACCACAGAGGGCAGGAUGGAUGGAGGAGGAACAAAACAAGAUCUCCAGAGGCUGACAGACACAGGGCUUUCUGGAAGGUGAACAAUGCAGGCAGUGUUACCCGCAAAUGGGACCUUUCAACACCCUUGGAAAGAAGAAAACUUAAAAAAUUAAACAUUCUACAGUGGGUUCCGAGUGGCUUACACUCAGUGCCAGCUACAGCCAAACAAGCCUGCCUGUAUAAGCUUGUUAAUGGGGAGAAAUACAUCUGAUCUGUAUGGCAUUUGAAGAUGAU